RNAcentral lists this ribosomal RNA (331 nucleotides) under Salmonella enterica subsp. enterica serovar Derby. RNAcentral describes it as "partial 23S ribosomal RNA". It matches the Rfam family "Bacterial large subunit ribosomal RNA", at positions 1093 to 1338 of the family's 2925-position model. The record is from RNAcentral. Lineage: Bacteria; Pseudomonadati; Pseudomonadota; Gammaproteobacteria; Enterobacterales; Enterobacteriaceae.
CCAGGAUGUUGGCUUAGAAGCAGCCAUCAUUUAAAGAAAGCGUAAUAGCUCACUGGUCGAGUCGGCCUGCGCGGAAGAUGUAACGGGGCUAAACCAUGCACCGAAGCUGCGGCAGCGAACGUAUCACCCAAGACAACUUUACGGAGUUGACGAUUGACGGAGCGAAGCGACGUCAAAGCGUUCAUUAAAGUCGAGUUGGCUUAGGGAUACGUUCGUUGGGUAGGGGAGCGUUCUGUAAGCCUGUGAAGGUGGCCUGUGAGGCAUGCUGGAGGUAUCAGAAGUGCGAAUGCUGACAUAAGUAACGAUAAAGCGGGUGAAAAGCCCGCUCGCC